RNAcentral lists this ribosomal RNA (466 nucleotides) under uncultured bacterium. RNAcentral describes it as "bacterial SSU rRNA". It matches the Rfam family "Bacterial small subunit ribosomal RNA", at positions 330 to 793 of the family's 1533-position model. The record is from RNAcentral.
CCCAGACUCCUACGGGAGGCAGCAGUGAGGAAUAUUGGUCAAUGGGCGCGAGCCUGAACCAGCCAAGUCGCGUGAGGGAUGACGGCCCUACGGGUUGUAAACCUCUUUUGUCGGGGAGCAAAUUCCGUUACGUGUAACGGAGUCGAGAGUACCCGAAGAAAAAGCAUCGGCUAACUCCGUGCCAGCAGCCGCGGUAAUACGGAGGAUGCGAGCGUUAUCCGGAUUUAUUGGGUUUAAAGGGUGCGUAGGCGGACGCUUAAGUCAGCGGUAAAAUUGCGGGGCUCAACCUCGUCGAGCCGUUGAAACUGGGUGCCUUGAGUGGGCGAGAAGUACGCGGAAUGCGUGGUGUAGCGGUGAAAUGCAUAGAUAUCACGCAGAACUCCGAUUGCGAAGGCAGCAUACCGGCGCGCAACUGACGCUCAUGCACGAAAGCGUGGGUAUCGAACAGGAUUAGAUACCCCCGUAC